UACGAAGGGGACUAGCGUUGUUCGGAAUCACUGGGCGUAAAGCGCACGUAGGCGGGUCGUUAAGUCAGGGGUGAAAUCCCAGAGCUCAACUCUGGAACUGCCUUUGAUACUGGCGACCUUGAGGCCGGAAGAGGUUAGUGGAAUUCCCAGUGUAGAGGUGAAAUUCGUAGAUAUCGGGAGGAACACCAGUGGCGAAGGCGGUUGCCUGGAGCUUUGCUGACGCUGAUGCGCGAAAGCGUGGGGAGCGAUCCGG
RNAcentral lists this ribosomal RNA (253 nucleotides) under uncultured bacterium. RNAcentral's name for it is "partial 16S ribosomal RNA". It matches the Rfam family "Bacterial small subunit ribosomal RNA", at positions 524 to 776 of the family's 1533-position model. The record is from RNAcentral.